GUGGGGAAUCUUGCGCAAUGGGCGAAAGCCUGACGCAGCCAUGCCGCGUGAAUGAUGAAGGUCUUAGGAUUGUAAAAUUCUUUCACCGGGGACGAUAAUGACGGUACCCGGAGAAGAAGCCCCGGCUAACUUCGUGCCAGCAGCCGCGGUAAUACGAAGGGGGCUAGCGUUGCUCGGAAUUACUGGGCGUAAAGGGCGCGUAGGCGGACAGUUAAGUUGGGGGUGAAAGCCCGGGGCUCAACCUCGGAACUGCCUUCAAUACUGGCUGUCUUGAGUAUGAGAGAGGUGUGUGGAACUCCGAGUGUAGAGGUGAAAUUCGUAGAUAUUCGGAAGAACACCAGUGGCGAAGGCGACUCACUGGCCCGUUACUGACGCUGAGGCGCGAAAGCGUGGGGAGCAAACAGGAUUAGAAACCCGGGUAGUCC
RNAcentral lists this ribosomal RNA (425 nucleotides) under uncultured bacterium. RNAcentral's name for it is "partial 16S ribosomal RNA". It matches the Rfam family "Bacterial small subunit ribosomal RNA", at positions 354 to 796 of the family's 1533-position model. The record is from RNAcentral.